RNAcentral lists this ribosomal RNA (449 nucleotides) under uncultured bacterium. RNAcentral describes it as "partial 16S ribosomal RNA". It matches the Rfam family "Bacterial small subunit ribosomal RNA", at positions 29 to 523 of the family's 1533-position model. The record is from RNAcentral.
AACGAACGCUGGCGGCAUGCCUAACACAUGCAAGUCGAACGAGACCUUCGGGUCUAGUGGCGCGCGGGUGCGUAACGCGUGGGAAUCUACCCUUGGGUUCGGAAUAACAGUUAGAAAUGACUGCUAAUACCGGAUGAUGACGUAAGUCCAAAGAUUUAUCGCCCAAGGAUGAGCCCGCGUAAGAUUAGCUUGUUGGUGGGGUAAUGGCCUACCAAGGCGACGAUCUUUAGCUGGUCUGAGAGGAUGACCAGCCACACUGGGACUGAGACACGGCCCAGACUCCUACGGGAGGCAGCAGUGGGGAAUAUUGGACAAUGGGCGAAAGCCUGAUCCAGCAAUGCCGCGUGAGUGAUGAAGGCCUUAGGGUUGAAAAGCUCUUUUACCAGGGAUGAUAAUGACAGUACCUGGAGAAUAAGCUCCGGCUAACUCCGUGCCAGCAGCCGCCGUAA